AAUAGAUACCCGGGUAGUCCACGCCGUAAACGAUGAGUGCUAAGUGUUAGAGGGUUUCCGCCCUUUAGUGCUGCAGCUAACGCAUUAAGCACUCCGCCUGGGGAGUACGGCCGCAAGGCUGAAACUCAAAGGAAUUGACGGGGGCCCGCACAAGCGGUGGAGCAUGUGGUUUAAUUCGAAGCAACGCGAAGAACCUUACCAGGUCUUGACAUCCUCUGCCAACCCUAGAGAUAGGGCGUUCCCCUUCGGGGGACAGAGUGACAGGUGGUGCAUGGUUGCCGUCAGCUCGUGUCGUGAGAUGUUGGGUUAAGUCCCGCAACGAGCGCAACCCUUGAUCUUAGUUGCCAGCAUUCAGUUGGGCACUCUAAGGUGACUGCCGGUGACAAACCGGAGGAAGGUGGGGAUGACGUCAAAUCAUCAUGCCCCUUAUGACCUGGGCUACACACGUGCUACAAUGGAUGGUACAAAGAGCUGCGAACCCGCGAGGGUAAGCCAAUCUCAUAAAGCCAUUCUCAGUUCGGA
RNAcentral lists this ribosomal RNA (522 nucleotides) under uncultured bacterium. RNAcentral's name for it is "bacterial SSU rRNA". It matches the Rfam family "Bacterial small subunit ribosomal RNA", at positions 777 to 1297 of the family's 1533-position model. The record is from RNAcentral.